This 495-nucleotide ribosomal RNA is filed under the name uncultured bacterium. Its description in RNAcentral is "partial 16S ribosomal RNA". It matches the Rfam family "Bacterial small subunit ribosomal RNA", at positions 28 to 507 of the family's 1533-position model. The record is from RNAcentral.
GAUGAACGCUGGCGGCGUGCUUAACACAUGCAAGUCGAACGAAGCACCUCUCCCGAAGCUUGACACAGCUUGCUGUAGAUUGAUUCAUUUGAGGUGACUGAGUGGCGGACGGGUGAGUAACGCGUGGGUAACCUGCCUCAUAGAGGGGGACAACAGUUGGAAACGACUGCUAAUACCGCAUAGUAAGAAGAAUUCGCAUGUUUUCUUCUUGAAAGAUUUAUCGCUAUGAGAUGGACCCGCGUCUGAUUAGCUAGUUGGUAAGGUAACGGCUUACCAAGGCGACGAUCAGUAGCCGGCUUGAGAGAGGGAACGGCCACAUUGGGACUGAGACACGGCCCAAACUCCUACGGGAGGCAGCAGUGGGGAAUAUUGCACAAUGGGGGAAACCCUGAUGCAGCGACGCCGCGUGAGUGAAGAAGUAUUUCGGUAUGUAAAGCUCUAUCAGCAGGGAAGAUAAUGACGGUACCUGACUAAGAAGCCCCGGCUAACUACGUG